RNAcentral lists this long non-coding RNA (2619 nucleotides) under Sarcophilus harrisii (Tasmanian devil). RNAcentral describes it as "lncRNA (ENSSHAG00000026672.1)". Lineage: Eukaryota; Metazoa; Chordata; Mammalia; Dasyuromorphia; Dasyuridae. The record is from RNAcentral.
GUUGGUAUUAAAUAAAUGCUUAGUGUUGAGUCGGCUGUCUCACCAGCUGAGAAAUAACCUUGUCUGUCUCUUUGACAUCUUCCCUUAAAGCUACUUGGAUGCAUAGUAUAAGAAAUAGCCUGAGUUCCUGGGGAUGUUUACACUAUCAGAAUGCUAGGGAACAGGGUUGACAAGAGUGACAGCGUUGAGUGAAAAGAAAGUUUAUUUAUAUGUUUGUGUGUGUGUAUAUACACACACACUAUACAUACUAAACUCGUAUAUACACAUAUGAAACACGUCUCGACUGGGAGCAAGGGAACUGCAAGAUAACAGGUUAAAAUGCUCUCAGAAACGUAAACAGAACUUGAAAUAUUAUUUUAUUUUUCCUACUGGAUAACUGAACAGUAAGCAUGAGGGCAAAGGAAAUGCAAGGAGGGAAGAGAAAGGAUUCCAAGGUAGAAGGAGAAAAAGGCAGAGAGACACAAGAGAUAUAACAUGGUUAUAAUGAGAUGGGAGAGGGGAGGGAAAGAUGGAAAAAGGGGAGAGAGAGAGAGAGAGAGAGAGAGAGAGAGAGAGAGAGAGAGAGAGGAGGGAUGGGGUGGGCGAAUUGGAGAGAGUUGGACGGAGUAUUCCACAUCUUUAAGGGAAAUUCUCUAGAUGGGAAGAGACGCACAAAUUUUGCAUGACAAGUAGAGACUGGCUCUCCUGGGAGUUCCCUGUUUGGAGAGCGGGCAAGCAAGAGAUCUCCCUGCUGCCUGGGAGAGGCUGCAGCUUUGGGCCCUAAAGCCCUGCCCCCUCAGUUCCUUCUUCCCUCCCCCUCCCGUCUACUCUGUACACAGUGCAUUUCCCUCUCUUUUUCUCAUUCUCUAGACUGGUUUUUCUGGUUCAGCCUCUCACCCUGGGACGCGCUGGGGGAUCCGAUGACGUCGCUGGCCGAGCUUUCCUCUCUCUCUCUCUCUCUCUCUCUCUCGGCCGCGCUCCCUUUCUCCCUCUCUUACUUCUCCUUGUAACUUCUGUUCUGGGAAGUGGUGCCAGGAAUAACCCUGUCUGACUACAGAUCAGAAAGGCUGCUGCUUCCUCAUCCAGAAAACUGCGGCUCUGGCCUCUCUUCUCCCUCUCAAGCCCAGCUUCACCUUAUGUCUGUCGCACUGUGUACAGUAUAAGAAAAUAAAUAAAGGAAAGAGGAGCCUUGACUGUCGGGAUCUCUUCCCUCCCUCCCUCUGUCCUUAAGGAAAUGCUACCAGACACCCCCCAACCCGCACAAGCUUAGCAAGGAGCAACCUCAGCAGCAGAAACAACAAGGGCACCAGGGGGUUUUUCCUCCUCCUCUUCCUCCUCCUCCUUCUCUUCCUCCUCCACGGUGACUUUCAGGUGAGCAGCAGCUGCUGCUGUGAGGAACCCCCUUCCUCGCUCCCCUGUCAAGGUAUCCCCUCCUCCUGCCCCUGUCACUCGGAGCCGGCCAGGAGCUGACAGUCGCCGGAGGGGCUUGCGGAAGAGAGGCGGGGAGGCGGGCGGGCGGGAGGUGUGGGAGUGGAGAGGAAAGGGGGACGCCGGGGGAGUGCUGUCUUUCUUAAGAAGAGGAGGGUCUUUAAAAAAAAAAUCUUUCCUGACUGUGGCACAAGUAUUUGCCAAGUUGUGUCUUGGACGUUGAAGCUACUGGCCGCACUGGAGCAACUUACAAGGUCUUUUCCUCUCUUUCCAAAAUCCACAUACUUUGGGUUGUUGGGUGCUGCCUCGGGGUACAUUGAGGGUGUAUCCGUCAUUUGGGAAAGAAACGGUGACUAUAGGCUAGCCAUCUGAUGGGUGGAGACUUUGGAAUUUUAAAGAAGACAGUCAAUAAUCAUACUCACCUGAAUGAUGAAACAAAUUGCCAUGGCUGGAACCAAUGAUUACUAAAUCUUUACUAUCAGCAGUCAGUGGAACCAUCACAUUUGAACUCUAACAUCUCAGUCCCUGAUGUACUAUAUGAGGAAAUGGAAAUGGCACCAAAAAGAUGAAGAUGGAGAAAAACAGCUGGACCCGACCAAGUACACACAGAGGAAUUCCUUGAUGGAGGCAACACAGUUUUAAAGGCAUUAAGGGACUUAUUUCCAAGGUAUCUGAAAGAGGAGAUUAUACCACAUAUUUGAAAACAAUUAUGGGCAGUAUUCAGUUUUUUGGUACUUCAGUGGAUUUGUUUAUUCAUUAUUGUGGACAUUCCACAAUAUGAGAAUUAGUAAAAAAAAAUUUGAGUCCCUUCAUGCCUUCUCAUCUUGAAUGAUUUUUGUCCAUGUUUCUCCCAUAAAUUCUCCAGGGAAGGGGUAUCCAAUGUGCUUUAGAAUUAUUUUGAUGUCUUUAUGAUCUGUGAAAAUCAAUGCAAUACUUGGGCAGUCUUUUCAUUUCAAAUCAUGAAAAUGACUCCUUCCCCCUUCCCCAAAGACAAUCAAAACAGCAUAAAUAAAAAUUAAUUAUACAUCUAUUUUCUAUAAAAUCUUAAGGAAUAUAAACUAUUCUUAUAUCAAAAACAUCCUUGAUGAAAAUAUGAGGAGAUAAAGAAAGAAUUUUACAAAUUAUUUUCUGCAACCACUUACUUCUUUAUGGUCACCCAAUUAACUGAAAGGUUCAGAAAACAAAAGGCUACUUGGUAUAUUGCUUAUGGAU